CCAUCAACAGAAAUCACUUUCUUUGCUCAUCCAAAGAAGCACUCCUCAUGUGUUCAAGUUUUAUCAUGAGAUUGCAGUAAUUUAGUCACAUUUUCAGGAUCCACUUUUUACUCUAGUUCUCUUGCUGUUUAUACCACAUCUUCAGUGACUUCCUCCACAGAAGACUUGAGCCCCUCAAAGUUAUCCAGAUGUGAUUACAUCAACUCCCAAGGAUAAGAGAAUUUGCCACAGAUCAACAAGCAUUUUCAAAGAAUAAAAAUUGUAUAACACACCCAGAUGUUUUUAAUCUAUGCAAAACAAUGAUGGAUACAUACUACCUUCUUCAACUAAUUUUCAAG
Cebus imitator (Panamanian white-faced capuchin) is the source of this 338-nucleotide long non-coding RNA. RefSeq lists it as uncharacterized. The record is from RefSeq and is a predicted model, not a curated record. Lineage: Eukaryota; Metazoa; Chordata; Mammalia; Primates; Cebidae. The transcript is spliced from 3 exons.